This 1007-nucleotide long non-coding RNA is filed under the name Homo sapiens (human). RNAcentral's name for it is "HSALNT0340756". The record is from RNAcentral. Lineage: Eukaryota; Metazoa; Chordata; Mammalia; Primates; Hominidae.
AAAGCAUUCGGGGAACCAGCAGAACCAGCACUCUAACUUCAAACUGAAAACAAGAUGGUACCAUGCUGUGUCCUGGUGCCUCUUCUCUCCUAGCCCUGGCAGAUCUUCCACCUGUUACCAUGGACACAGUCAACACUGAGAGCCAAUGCAGUAUAGGGGUUAAGCCCACAGACCUUGGAGACACUACCUGGGUUUGAUUCCUUCUUUUGACCUUAGACGAGGUAUUUUUUGGUGUCAGGAGUAAGAUACAAACCUUGGGCAAAUUUUUAAUUUCUCCCUACCCCAGUUUAUCUCCUGUAAAACUGGGGUAAAUAAUAGUUCCUGCAUUACAAAGCUAUCAUGUGAAUCAAAUGAGUGACUGGAUGUAAAAGAGCUUGAAAGAGUUCUUGGCACAUUGGCUGGGUGUGGUCAUGCUCACCUUUAGUGCUAGCUACUUGGGAUGCUAAGGUGGGAGGAUCUCUUGAGCCUGAGUUUGAGGCUGUAGUGAGCCAUGCUGGUGUCAUUGGAAGACAGAGUGAGAUCCCACUUCUUUAAAAAAAAAAAAAGGAGUUCUUGGCACAAAGGAAGUGAGUCAUAGCUCUCACCAAAGGUUGGCACCAAAAUCCACAGAUGUUGGCAGUCAUGAUCUUAUCAAAUUUUCUCAGGAGUUGCAAGUGCAACCAGAUAAAUCAUUAAGAAAAAGCAAUGAAUAACAGAAAAGAAAACUAAGCAAACAGAACCUUCUAUCUCAGGCUUCAUGGGACUUAGGUUGGUGGGAUUUAAACUUCCUCCAGGCCAGCUGCUGUCAUUCAAUGGAUAGUCGAAUUCAAUGGCGCCCACCAAAGACAAUGCAAAACUCUCUGUGUCCAUGUCACCACACCACUGAUAGCCAAUUAACUCCUUACAUUCAGUGUAAAACAUCAGUGAUUUGACUCUCAUACGCGCAUCUGGGGAGAGAAGACAGGAAGAAGAGGAAGCUAACCGUUUCCAGAUCUGAGUGCCAGCUCAAAAUAAAACCAGUAUCAUCU